UAAACUUCAUUAGAGAGAGUAUAGUAUGCUUUGUCGCAAAAACUUUGAUUGAUGAGGGUCAUAAAAAUUCAAAUUUAAAAACUAGUUAGAGUUUGUUACAAAUUAAAUAAGAAAACUAGGUUACUGAUUAUCUAUCUAUCUAUCUAUCUAUCUAUCUAAAACAAACAAACAAACAAAAAGUAUCAGAUACAUUCGUUAAACAGUACGUGAGAGUCAAAGCUUGUAACAUUCCAAUUAAAAAACUAUUUAGAGUUUGUUACAAAUUAAAUAAAAAGAAAACUAGGCUAGUGGUUAUCUAUCUAAAACAAAAAAGUAUCAGAUACGUUUGUUAAACACUACGUGAGAGUCAAAAAUCUUGUAACAUUACAUUUUAAAAACUAUUUAGAGUUUGUUACCAGUUAGAAAAGAAAAGAAAAAUACAGAGGUUUGCAGUAUUUGUAUCUUACCGUGAUCUAAAACAAAAAAGAAGCGAACGUUAAGCAAACAGUAGUUUUUCUGUGUUACAAAUCAGGAAAGUUAGCAUUUUGUCACACCGAUAGAAAAAGUUAAAAGAAAAAAAGAUUCCCAGCAAAGCUUACGUUGUUUUCCGUCAGAUCAACCUCACACGCCGCUGACAAACUCAGAAUGAGCUCAGGAGCACUUCAGUUAAGCCACACCUACAACCCUACCCUUAACGCUGGAGGAGUGACCAGCACAAAAUAGAUUGAAAUUUAUGUUAAAAAAUUAAAGUAAUGUUUUUAGUAAAUCGUCAUCAUUUCUUAAUUGGUGAAAACAUUCUACCUGUUUUUAACAUUAGACUGCCGUUUUUUACUUUAAAAUUACGAUCACCUAUACAAGUUUUCUUCUAAACAAUCACCUCCAAGCCACACGAAAAAUUUUUUUAGUUUAGUUUAGUUAUUCACACUUAAUUUAUCAGUCUAAUUCCUUUAAUAUGUCUUUUAUUUUUGUCAGUCUUAACUUCUAACAUGCUAUAUCGGUUAAAACACACACACACACAUAUGCUUGCGCAAAUAUCUAACAGAAACGAAGUGUUUUGGAAUGUCUUUGAUUUCCUUCUGUAACGUUUGUUAUCAGUUGAAAUAGAUGUACAAUGUCUAAACUUUUACAACAUGGUACGAAGCGUAAAUAUUUCGUCUCAAGUAGUGCAGCAAAACGAGAACAGGACUGGGUGUUUGCAUUGUGUGAUUACUGAUGCGAACAUAUCAGUGUAUGGUAUAUUGAAAAGUUGUAAAACAUCUAAAAGUUUUCUGGGUUUGCAACUCAAUUGUAAACUGAGUUUUGAGGGUUCUGACAUUGUAAAUGUUGGUGUUGUGUGUCAACUAAAGUUCAGUGAUCAAAAACAGAUCGUGCUCACUGGUCAAAGGGUGACAAUUUAAACUAUUUUAUGAUCUAGAGCUGUGAGGUGCACUUUGCCAAAGUUUAGCCAAAAGCUCAAUGACAGGUCAAAAGGAUGAGACCUAUGAUUGUUUUUUAACAAGUCAGACUAUGGUAUAGGAAAUUUUGCAUAAUUUUAUUUAGUUAAUUUAGUUUAUUUUAGUUACAUUUAUUAUUUUUAUUCACACCUUGAUUUUUCAAGCCUCAACACAAACAUACACUGCAAAUGCACAUAAGUACACAAAUAUACAAAUAAACAAACUAGGUCACAAACACACACACAUGCAUUUAUGAGACAUACCUAAUACAAACAAGAGAAUUGAGAUCUUUUAUUUCCGAUGUAAGACAGAAGAACUUCAAAUGCAAAUAUCUACCCCGCUGAGAUGAAAGGUCGUGUCUACGCGCCAGGGUAUGUAACAAAGACCAGACAGUCUCUGGCGUAGAUCACGCUAGUAAUAUCACCCCCAGUUAAGUUGUAAAAGAAAAAAAUCUAAAAGAUGUUUCAUCUGUUGUUGCAUGUGCAUAAAUCAACGUUAUACAUUUAUGAGUAUUAAAGAUUUAUGGUAUUAGGGUACCCCCUACGGAUGGUUGUCGGAUUUUACGUGGUGUUCUCAAGUGCCGCCCCACACACCAAGUCCCGUUAAAAACCAAAAGUUUUGUUACGCUCAUUACCUGUAAAAUCUAUCUUCAAGUAGUGCUACGCUGAGAUCUCAACAAUAGAUGAAACAAUGGCUGACAAUUACCAGGCUGGUUUUGAGAAUCAGGAUUUCAGUGAUGGUUUGGAACAGAUCCUUGAAGAGAUAUAUGACCAGGCGGAGCUAUUUGCAUGUGAUGAUGAUGGCACUGUUAAUAACGGUGAGCACAUUGUUUCUGACAGUCACGUGGUGAUAUUACCUACAGAGGGCACGUUACAAGAGGUUGUGGUUAGCUUGGAAUCACAUCACAAACUAAACAACGUCACAAAUCCCACCCCCACCCACGUUCCGUCUUCAGAGGAACAGUCUCACAAGCUCCCAGACUGAGCGAGUGUUCACACCACAGAACAAGGGUAUGACGAAGGCGGCCUAACAGCGUGGACUGAUUCAAUGAUACAUGCGUGGGAUCAAGUGUCCUUCAGUGCUUCGGAAAGCGAGGAAGAGGAGGAAUUACCUCAUGAAAUUCCUCAGGAAUUGUUCCGUGAUCGUGAUUUAAACAGGAGGCUCGAUUAUGCUAUGCUGCCCCAUGUUAAUCGGAACUUUGAGACACUUUUUGACUUGAGCGGACAAACGUUAUUUAUCGGAAAGCAGAAGACAUCAUUGCUAGUGCACAAAGUGAUGUGGUAUCGAUUUUAAGAAAUAUCAUAGCGUGUCAACAACAACACAAAGAAUCCUUACGUCACGCGGCUGAGUUUUGGAGCAGUUGCCACGAACAACUGUAUGGUGAAUUCCGACAGUUUCAGCAGAGCAUGAGUGCCGUACUGGCGGAAAUCCAUGAGGUACAAAUCGAGCAACGUCUUACGGUUAAUGCCUUAUCGCUGAUUACUGAACGUUUAAAUCUUAUUCAAAGAAUGUUAACAGAUUUGUUCAAUCGUAUGAUGAGAGGUUGUCCGUGAUAUGUAUUGAAUUGUUGAUUGUUUUUGUUUUGUGUUAUUGACAUCGAUUCAUUAUUAUCAUUGGUUAUUUCUUAAUUUAUUACUAUUGUUUGUUACUGACAACGAAUCUUUAUUAUCAUUGGUUAUUUCUUACAUUUAUUAAUAUUGUUUGUUAUAGACAUUGAUUUAUUACAUGCAUUAUUGUAUGUUAUUGCCAGCCAUUUGGCGUUGUUUUACUUAUGGAGAAAUGGUGGUUUUGAAUUUAUACUGUGCAUAUCUGUUUUGUUAUAUCUGGUUAUGUCGCAUUGUGAAUGGUGUUGCUGUUUUCAGGAGUGUACACGUUUGUCUUAAGCUUGAAAAAGGUGUAUUUCUGAUUUUUAAAAUAAAAACAAUAAUAAUUCAAAAUGAGCAGUAAAAGAUGUCACGAUGAUUUACAUCCCCACACUUCAAAAGAUGAUCAGAGAUCAUUAAGACAUGAUUUUCCCAGACACGAUUUUCAAAACAAUAGCGAACAGUUACGUGAAAUGAUUAACAAUCAUUUUCAGAUGUUACAGCCUGAUUCGCU
Long non-coding RNA from Cyprinus carpio carpio, 3509 nucleotides. The record is from Ensembl. NCBI's taxonomy places the organism in Eukaryota, Metazoa, Chordata, Actinopteri, Cypriniformes, Cyprinidae.